GACGAACGCUGGCGGCGUGCUUAACACAUGCAAGUCGAACGGUGAAGGGGCCUGCUUUUGUGGGCCCUGGAUGAGUGGCGAACGGGUGAGUAACACGUGAGUAACCUGCCCCCUUCUUCUGGAUAACCGCAUGAAAGUGUGGCUAAUACGGGAUAUUCUGGGUCUGUCGCAUGAUGGGUCUGGGAAAGAUUGCGCCUUUGGGUGUUUUUGGUGGGGGAUGGGCUCGCGGCCUAUCAGCUUGUUGGUGGGGUGAUGGCCUACCAAGGCGGUGGCGGGUAGCCGGCAGGGGGGGGUGGCCGGUCACACUGGGACUGAGACACGGCCCACACCGCUACGGGAGGCAACAGUGGGGAAUAUUGCACACGGGAGGCAAGCCGGAUGCAGCGACGCCGCGUGAGGGAUGGUGGCCUUCGUGAUGUAAACCUCUUUCGCCAGUGAAGCAGGCCUGCUCCUUGUGGGUGGGUUGACGGUAGCUGGAUAAGAAGCGCCGGCUAACUACGUG
Molecule: ribosomal RNA, 502 nt
Filed under: uncultured bacterium
Lineage: Bacteria
Description: partial 16S ribosomal RNA
Rfam family: Bacterial small subunit ribosomal RNA
Source: RNAcentral